GAUUUUAUCCAAAGAGCCCUAUUACAAGCCGCGUCCUUAGCUGAAAAUCUGAUAGUUUCUGCUGAGGCGUCCACUAGGAAGCCUGUAGCUGACUUAAAUAAAUGGUAUUGAAUCAAGUAUCUGAUCUCGUGAUGUUUUAUUAAUUAGA
Bufo bufo (common toad) is the source of this 148-nucleotide long non-coding RNA. RefSeq lists it as uncharacterized. Lineage: Eukaryota; Metazoa; Chordata; Amphibia; Anura; Bufonidae. The record is from RefSeq and is a predicted model, not a curated record. The transcript has 4 exons.